ACAACCUUAUUUGAACAGGAUCUGUUCCAUAGGCUCGUACCUCUGUAUCCUUGAGUUUUAGGAGACAGGAACCUAAGUCUGGUUGACGAAACAGGACAGCACGAUCAGUGCUUGAUUAAUGGUUUACCACAUAUGAUGUAGAUUAAUGUGGCUGUAGAUGAUCGUCCUCAGCCUGGCUUUGGCCUGCUGUGAUGAUCGUGCUGUUGUCUGACAGACU
Papaver somniferum (opium poppy) is the source of this 217-nucleotide small nucleolar RNA. RefSeq annotates it as small nucleolar RNA U3. The record is from RefSeq and is a predicted model, not a curated record. NCBI's taxonomy places the organism in Eukaryota, Viridiplantae, Streptophyta, Magnoliopsida, Ranunculales, Papaveraceae. The transcript has a single exon.